This 428-nucleotide unclassified non-coding RNA is filed under the name Hevea brasiliensis (rubber tree). Lineage: Eukaryota; Viridiplantae; Streptophyta; Magnoliopsida; Malpighiales; Euphorbiaceae. The record is from RNAcentral.
UAUCAAAUCCUUCUUUCUUUCUCUACUUUCUCUCUACUCUCUUUGUCACCCAUUCACCUUCACUCCUCAUUAUCAUCUUUUCCUCUUUAUGUUUUGAUCCAACGGAGGAGUAUUUCCAGCGUUUAGAGAUCACUUGCAGGCUUUUGCAGUAGUGGCGCAUCACCUGGUGAGGAUUAUCUUCCCAACUGACAUCGCCAGGGGUGGAGCGUGGAGGCCAGCGAUGGUUUAUCUACAUUCUGUCUCAAUUAGGGGAUUAAACUUGAGCUCUAUCUCUCCUAAGCUCGAUUUCCUCAAUUUAUUUUGUUUGAGUUUCUUUAAUUUUUCUCCAGUUUUUAGGUUCUCUGUGAGUAUAGCUUAUUUGUUGCAAUUUUUCUUAUUGAUAUGCCUAUUCAAUUUCUAGGUUAAUUAAGAUUACUCUAACUUUCUAG